This 749-nucleotide ribosomal RNA is filed under the name uncultured bacterium. RNAcentral describes it as "bacterial SSU rRNA". It matches the Rfam family "Bacterial small subunit ribosomal RNA", at positions 28 to 766 of the family's 1533-position model. The record is from RNAcentral.
GAUGAACGCUAGCUACAGUCUUAACACAUGCAAGUCGAGGGGCAGCAUGGUCUUAGCUUGCUAAGGCCGAUGGCGACCGGCGCACGGGUGAGUAACACGUAUCCAACCUGCCGUCUACUCUUGGACAGCCUUCUGAAAGGAAGAUUAAUACAAGAUGGCAUCAUGAGUUCACAUGUUCACAUGAUUAAAGGUAUUCCGGUAGACGAUGGGGAUGCGUUCCAUUAGAUAGUAGGCGGGGUAACGGCCCACCUAGUCUUCGAUGGAUAGGGGUUCUGAGAGGAAGGUCCCCCACAUUGGAACUGAGACACGGUUCAAACUCCUACGGGAGGCAGCAGUGAGGAAUAUUGGUCAAUGGGCGAGAGCCUGAACCAGCCAAGUAGCGUGAAGGAUGACUGCCCUAUGGGUUGUAAACUGCUUUUAGUUGGGAAUAAAAAGAGGGACGUGUCCCUUAUUGUAUGUACCAUCAGAAAAAGGACCGGCUAAUUCCGUGCCAGCAGCCGCGGUAAUACGGAAGGUCCAGGCGUUAUCCGGAUUUAUUGGGUUUAAAGGGAGCGCAGGCGGCGGCGUAAGUCAGUUGUGAAAUCGUGCGGCUUAACCGUGCAAUUGCAGUUGAUACUGCGUCGCUUGAGUGCACACAGGGAUGUUGGAAUUCAUGGUGUAGCGGUGAAAUGCUUAGAUAUCAUGAAGAACUCCGAUCGCGAAGGCAUAUGUCCGGAGUGCAGCUGACGCUGAGGCUCGAAAGUGUGGGU